GAUGAGUCCGCGUACCAUUAGCUAGUUGGUAGGGUAAUGGCCUACCAAGGCUACGAUGGUUAGCUGGUCUGAGAGGAUGAUCAGCCACACUGGAACUGAGACACGGUCCAGACUCCUACGGGAGGCAGCAGUGAGGAAUAUUGCGCAAUGGGGGCAACCCUGACGCAGCAACGCCGCGUGAGUGAGGAAGGUUUUCGGACCGUAAAGCUCUGUCGAGCGGGAAGAAAUGUAUCGUGGCUAAUAUCCAUGAUAUUUGACGGUACCGCUAAAGGAAGCACCGGCUAACUCCGUGCCAGCAGCCGCGGUAAUACGGGGGGUGCAAGCGUUGUUCGGAAUUAUUGGGCGUAAAGAGCGUGUAGGCGGCUGAAUAAGUCAGAUGUGAAAUCCCUGGGCUUAACCCAGGAAGUGCAUUUGAAACUAUUCAGCUUGAGUAGGGGAGAGGAAAGUGGAAUUCCUGGUGUAGAGGUGAAAUUCGUAGAUAUCAGGAGGAACACCGGUGGCGAAGGCGACUUUCUGGCCCUAUACUGACGCUGAGACGCGAGAGCGUGGGUAGCAAACAGGAUUAGAUACCCUGGUAGUCCACGCUGUAAA
RNAcentral lists this ribosomal RNA (591 nucleotides) under uncultured bacterium. RNAcentral's name for it is "bacterial SSU rRNA". It matches the Rfam family "Bacterial small subunit ribosomal RNA", at positions 224 to 806 of the family's 1533-position model. The record is from RNAcentral.